This 303-nucleotide ribosomal RNA is filed under the name uncultured bacterium. Its description in RNAcentral is "partial 16S ribosomal RNA". It matches the Rfam family "Bacterial small subunit ribosomal RNA", at positions 507 to 807 of the family's 1533-position model. The record is from RNAcentral.
AGCAGCAGCCGCGGUAAUACAGAGGCCUCAAGCGUUGUUCGGAUUCAUUGGGCGUAAAGGGUGCGUAGGCGGUAGGGUAAGUCGGAUGUGAAAUCCUGGGGCUCAACCUCAGAACUGCAUUCGAUACUGCUCUGCUAGAGGACUGGAGAGGAGAUCGGAAUUCACGGUGUAGCAGUGAAAUGCGUAGAUAUCGUGAGGAAGACCAGUGGCGAAGGCGGAUCUCUGGUCAGUUCCUGACGCUGAUGCACGAAGGCUAGGGGAGCAAACGGGAUUAGAGACCCCUGUAGUCCCUGUCUCUUAUAC